RNAcentral lists this ribosomal RNA (120 nucleotides) under Lepisosteus oculatus (spotted gar). Lineage: Eukaryota; Metazoa; Chordata; Actinopteri; Semionotiformes; Lepisosteidae. The record is from RNAcentral.
GCCAGCUUGCCAUAUCACCCUGAAACUCACAACUGGCAACUUACUGAAGCUAAGCAGGUGUGAGCCUGGCCAGUACCUGGAUGGGAGACCUCCUUGGAAAAACUAAGGUUGCUGCUGGAA